RNAcentral lists this transfer RNA (78 nucleotides) under Methanococcus maripaludis C7. Its description in RNAcentral is "tRNA-Asp". It matches the Rfam family "tRNA". Rfam says of the family: Transfer RNA (tRNA) molecules are approximately 80 nucleotides in length. Their secondary structure includes four short double-helical elements and three loops (D, anti-codon, and T loops). Lineage: Archaea; Methanobacteriati; Methanobacteriota; Methanococci; Methanococcales; Methanococcaceae. RNAcentral also lists the same sequence under 1 other name. The record is from RNAcentral.
GCCCUGGUGGUGUAGCUCGGCCUAUCAUACAGGACUGUCACUCCUGUGACUCGGGUUCAAAUCCCGGCCAGGGCGCCU